This 601-nucleotide ribosomal RNA is filed under the name Torulaspora delbrueckii. Its description in RNAcentral is "eukaryotic LSU rRNA". It matches the Rfam family "Eukaryotic large subunit ribosomal RNA", at positions 51 to 665 of the family's 3401-position model. Lineage: Eukaryota; Fungi; Ascomycota; Saccharomycetes; Saccharomycetales; Saccharomycetaceae. The record is from RNAcentral.
CGGAGGAAAAGAAACCAACCGGGAUUGCCUUAGUAACGGCGAGUGAAGCGGCAAAAGCUCAAAUUUGAAAUCUGGUACCUUCGGUGCCCGAGUUGUAAUUUGUAGAAGGUAACUUUGGGGCUGGUCCUUGUCUAUGUUCCUUGGAACAGGACGUCAUAGAGGGUGAGAAUCCCGUGUGGCGAGGAUCCCAGUUCUUUGUAAAGUGCUUUCGAAGAGUCGAGUUGUUUGGGAAUGCAGCUCUAAGUGGGUGGUAAAUUCCAUCUAAAGCUAAAUAUUGGCGAGAGACCGAUAGCGAACAAGUACAGUGAUGGAAAGAUGAAAAGAACUUUGAAAAGAGAGUGAAAAAGUACGUGAAAUUGUUGAAAGGGAAGGGCAUUUGAUCAGACAUGGUGUUUUGCGCCCUCUGCUCCUUGUGGGUGGGGGAAUCUCGCAGCUCACUGGGCCAGCAUCAGUUUUGGCGGCAGGAUAAAUCUGCAGGAAUGUAGCUUGCCUCGGUAAGUGUUAUAUCCUGUAGAAAUACUGCCAGCUGGGACUGAGGACUGCGACUUUACGUCAAGGAUGCUGGCAUAAUGGUUAUAUGCCGCCCGUCUUGAACCACGGA